Molecule: ribosomal RNA, 478 nt
Filed under: uncultured bacterium
Lineage: Bacteria
Description: partial 16S ribosomal RNA
Rfam family: Bacterial small subunit ribosomal RNA
Source: RNAcentral
GAUGAACGCUGGCGGCGUGCUUAACACAUGCAAGUCGAACGAGAAGUGAAGACGGAAACCUUCGGGCGGAAGGCUUUAUUUCGAGUGGCGGACGGGUGAGUAACGCGUGGGUAACCUGCCUCAUACAGGGGGAUAACAGUUGGAAACGACUGUUAAUACCGCAUAAGACUACAGCACCGCAUGGUGCGGGGGUAAAAACUCCGGUGGUAUGAGAUGGACCCGCGUUCGAUUAGCCAGUUGGCGGGGUAACGGCCCACCAAAGCGACGAUCGAUAGCCGAUCUGAGAGGAUGACCGGCCACAUUGGGACUGAGACACGGCCCAAACUCCUACGGGAGGCAGCAGUAGGGAAUAUUGCACAAUGGGGGAAACCCUGAUGCAGCGACGCCGCGUGAGUGAAGAAGUAUUUCGGUAUGUAAAGCUCUAUCAGCAGGGAAGAAAAUGACGGUACCUGAGUAAGAAGCCCCGGCUAACUACGUG